RNAcentral lists this ribosomal RNA (452 nucleotides) under uncultured bacterium. RNAcentral describes it as "bacterial SSU rRNA". It matches the Rfam family "Bacterial small subunit ribosomal RNA", at positions 340 to 786 of the family's 1533-position model. The record is from RNAcentral.
UACGGAAGGCAGCAGUGGGGAAUAUUGCACAAUGGGCGCAAGCCUGAUGCAGCCAUGCCGCGUGUAUGAAGAAGGCCUUCGGGUUGUAAAGUACUUUCAGUCGUGAGGAAGGUGUUAAGGUUAAUAACCUUAGCAAUUGACGUUAGCGACAGAAGAAGCACCGGCUAACUCCGUGCCAGCAGCCGCGGUAAUACGGAGGGUGCGAGCGUUAAUCGGAAUUACUGGGCGUAAAGGGCACGCAGGCGGUUAAUUAAGUUGGAUGUGAAAUCCCCGGGCUUAACCUGGGAAUGGCAUUCAAGACUGGUUAGCUAGAGUCUUGUAGAGGGGGUAGAAUUCCAUGUGUAGCGGUGAAAUGCGUAGAGAUGUGGAGGAAUCCGGUGGCGAAGGCGGCCCCUGGACAAAGGCUGACGCUCAUGUGCGAAAGCGUGGGGAGCAAACAGGGAUUAGAUACC